AGGUUGGUUCCUGAGCACUGAAAUUCUUUGCUCGCAAGGCCACAUCGCUGAAAAUGCUUUUGACGACUUGAUGUACUGGCAGUGGUAAGAAGGCCAAUGAUAAGGAAGGUCGGUGCGGUUUCGCCCCGGCCUUGUUUGUU
RNAcentral lists this small RNA (140 nucleotides) under Rhizobium esperanzae. RNAcentral describes it as "sRNA ar35". It matches the Rfam family "Alphaproteobacterial sRNA ar35". The record is from RNAcentral. Lineage: Bacteria; Pseudomonadati; Pseudomonadota; Alphaproteobacteria; Hyphomicrobiales; Rhizobiaceae.